Astyanax mexicanus (Mexican tetra) is the source of this 1792-nucleotide long non-coding RNA. RefSeq lists it as uncharacterized. The transcript has 5 exons. NCBI's taxonomy places the organism in Eukaryota, Metazoa, Chordata, Actinopteri, Characiformes, Acestrorhamphidae. The record is from RefSeq and is a predicted model, not a curated record.
GAAAGGGAGAGAGAGCGAAGAUUGUGGCUGAAGAGGGACUUGUUUCAUGGAUUCCACUGGACAACUGUAAAGAGUGAGAACCAGGGAGGGCUUGUGUGAAAGAGAUUGGAACUCAUCUGUGCUUUUGGGGUGCUCGUCACUUCGUGCUGCCACCCAUAGCAACUUGAUCGGAAGGAGGAGUUGAGCAGCCAGGUGUAGAAGCAGUGUUAAAGCCCGUCGCUGGUGUUUAUUCUGGUCGAUAUUUUUCGGGGAUUAUUUUUUUGUUUGUUUUUCUCUCCACCGGACCACCAUUUUGGGAUAUUCAAUCUUCAGACUGAACUACUCAGAGCGAGGACAGCACGGAAUACAGACGACCCACGUUGGCUCCUCAACUGGCUCAGUUACCUCCAAAAACCGUUCUGAACUUGGAGUGCGAGUGUUGUCCCACGUGACAACAGAAGCCAGUUUAGGAGCUUCUCCAGAUAGCUGCACAUCUCUCAGUACCCUGAUAAGAUUCAACAAAUUUCCUCACUAGGAGUGCCGGUAUAAGACUCAUCGAGGUAAAAAUGUCACGAAGUCUGUCAGAUCAGGAUCCAUAUUUGAAAGGAGCAAGAUCCGUCUACAAAGUUGGAUGCAGUUUAUAUACAGGUUUGCACAGGGAUUAAAGCUGCGACAAAUCGAUCUAAUUCAAGAUGGUGUUUCUAGAAGCACACGUACGCUGUCCAAAAUGAGUAAAAAAACUGCGAAUGAUCUGCAAAAGAGCAUUAAAGCGAAAAAGGAGAAGCACAGGACAACACCUGGGAGGACACAGGGAGUUUGUAGUAAUAGACGAAAGUAACUUCUGCCACAAACGCAAGUAUGGUCGAGGUAGAUUUGGCCGGACCUGGAACAGAAGAAAGUGGGUUUUUGGAUUACUGGGCGUCAGAGAACAAAGAAGAAGACCCAUUCUCCGAUUGGUGGAAAAAAAAUCUCGACGUCAUUUACUUCCAAUUAUCAGAAAGCAUGUACGUAGAGGUUCAACAAUUAUCAGUGAUCAAUGGAGGGCUUACAUGGGUGCUCUUCAUAAUGCAGGUUACACACAUUUUAGUGUAAACCACAAGAGAUGGUUUGUUGACCCUCAGAGUGGUGGUCAUACACAGCAUUUGGAAAGAGCUUGGGGUAUCUACAAAGGCCAGAUCUGGAGACUACGAGGUAACAGAACUGAAAAUCUGUUAAAGGAGCACCUGUCAGUUAUUGAGUGGACCUACUGGCUGGGAAAGAACCACCGUGAGGGUCCUCUUGGGCGUCUCCUUAAAGACAUACGCCAGUAUUUUCCAGUGUAGGCAACCAUUUCAAAAUGUUUAAAACAAAGCAGUUAUAAAAAAUAACUAUAUACAGUAUUGUGCAAAUGUUUUCGGCACCCGUGGGAAUGUCGGUAAAGAAUAAGCUUCUUAUUUGUGAAGUUAUUUUUAGUUCUCAUCAUAUCAACACCUGGUUUGGUAAAUUGGUAAAUUUGGUAAAUCAGGUGAGCUGCUGACGGAACUGAACAUAUACACAUGCUGGCUGAAUAAAUGCAUCCAGGAGAAAUCUGGAAGUAAACUUUAUUUUUCAGCUUGGCUCACAGGAUGUAGCAUAUUUAGUUAAAAAUAUUAUGUUUUGCUGUUUUUAUGUUUAUUUGCAUCUGUUCAAAUCAUAUGUGGUGCUUUUUUCAGGUAAAAACACUCAAAUUGCUAAUAAAUUAGUUUAAUUCAGGGGUGAUAGCGUUCCGGCGCCGCGCCGGAAAUCCGGCGUAGCGUGGCUCUGUAAAAAAAAAAAGCUUUCCCCAUCCCCUAUG